ACAAGGGAAAAAAAAGGAAUAUAAGAAAGCAACUGUGAAUCUGAGGCUUCAUUUUGAGUUUUCCCCCAAAACAAAAAGGGGAAAACUAAAAGCCUGAUAGGUUACCUUUUUCUAACAAGGAACAACUGUCUCUACUUCGGGUUGCAUGCUUUCUCAAGUUUGAGUUUAGACAGACCACUCUUUUGUGAAUCUUUGCAUAAAGGGUCAUUGAAUAAUGGUCAGAGGCAUUGUCUUUGAAUGUUUUACAGAUAUGCUGAGGUUUGUACUUAGAACUUCUCAUUUUACAUUCAGCCUUUCAGUGAAAGGCGAACGUGAAGCUGACAUUUUAUAAUGGCAAAACUUAGGGGGCCAGAGCUAUAAGACAUGUUCAGAAGACAGGGAUAUGUGUCUUUUUUUCUCUUGUAUUGCUCAUGGUACCUAGCACAAAGUUGGAGAUGUGAUAGACUCUUUAAUACAGGUAUUCUUAUAUGGUUUACCAUGGCAAAAUCAACUUUCAAUUUUGUUUGGUUUUCAGAGUACUUUUCAUGAUAAAAAGGUUCAUUUGUUUUACUCUCAGAGCAUGCUCUGAGCUGAGAAUUAUAAACUAAAGGAGAAAAUAAUGAUGAGCAAAUAAUUGCCCAGGCUCCUAUGGAGAGUUCUCAGUAGAGCUGGAUUUGGUAACUUGAUGAGUUGUCACUGGCAAAUUUAGCAUUCACAUGUCAGACCUAGAAUAAUGCUAGAUGCUUAUCCCUCUCGUAUGGGAGCAGCCAGGAAGUCAGAAGAGGACCACAGACAGAGCGUUUGUUGGUGACAAGGGCUUUCAUAUCUUCAGAACUUGGCAAUAAGUAUUUUUAAAUAAUGGGAAGAAUGAAUUAUUUGAUUUCUGUGAAUUUAAAUUGCAAAAAUGAAAUAUGUGGGAGAAAACAGGUGCCUCCAUCUUUAACUGGAAUUGACAAAGCAGCAUUCACAAAGUGGCAACAAUUUCCUUUGACAUUUAUGAUUGCCCUAAUGCUGUUAAUCAGUGUGAGAUUAUUAUUUUUCCUUUCACAAAUGGAGAAACUGAGGUUCUGAGGGGUGAAGUGAGCUUACCCCAUUCCACAAAACUUGUAACUGCUGAUUCCCAGUUCUUUGUUCAUUUUAUUAGGCCAUGGAUGUUUCCUUAAAUAUAUUUCUCUGGGAAUAAAAUUCUCUUACAGAUCUUCUAGAAAUGGGGAUCUUGGCUUUCUGAAAUGAAAUUAUGUAUGGGCCAGAAGCCAGGAGAUGGAACGUGUGCUUUCUUACGUGUUUUCCUUCCAGCUUCCUUAGUCACGAUUCUUCAUUAUAACUUUGGUAUCUCUGAUAUUGAGUUAACUUUGACGAUGGUAUGGAUGAUGGUGGAUGGGUGGUACAUACAACUUUGAAGCACAUGAUGACUCUCUGGCCACCUACUUUAUUCUCGUAUUUCCCAAGAGGAGGUAAAUACUUCAUUUUAGAGAAACUGGACUCUAACCUAAAGUGGCCGAGAAGUCUAACCUGCAUUGUAAUCUUCAUCAAAUGAAAACACUUUGUUCUUAAAAGUACACUUGUUCCUUCUUCUUGCCCUUGACAAUUUUCUGUUUGAAGCAGCAAGGAACAGAGGAAAGAUAACAUAGUUUAUUCUAUGGAUUUCUACCAGUUCAAUUUUUAAAGUGUUAGCCUCUUAAAAUAAAUGUUUUCAUAAAAGAUCAUGAAGAAACUCGGAUUUUUGUCACUCCAUCAAUAUGUAGGAGGAGGGUAUGUCUGGGUAAGAGCCAAACAAUUAAGGUGUUACUGACCAGAAGUCUCUUGGUUUGCUGUCAUAAAAUGUCACAACUAUCAGCAACCACAAAAUCUUCAAUAAAUGGCACUGCAGACAGAAAUUUUUCUUAACAGUCUGGGUUUGUGAAUUCUCUUUUUUCCUUUCUGGUUUCCCUCUGUAGAUGUCUCUUUCUUCCUUUGUGCUUGGUCUCUCUGUUUCUCUUACUAACAACACACAUAUUUCUCCAUCUCUGUAUCAUCAUCUUCUAUUAGUUUUUCACAAGUGUAUUUCUGUGACUAAAAGGAUCAACAGAUGCUGACUUCAAUAUUGUGAAGCAUCCAGAAAAAGAACAAUUAAUUUAUAACAAACCUGCUUUGCUCUAACACUGACAGCUUUUGAAAAUGUAUACUGUAUGUGAGAUCCACAUCUCAUUUUGUUUUCAUUUAGAUGGUCAACAGCAUUUAACUCGAAGUUAGGUUUAAAUUCCCCCCAUGAGACUUGUCAGUUUUUGUCAGAAAUAAAACCAAUGAAUAUUUCCAUUUUAAAUAUUUAAAAGACCUUUUAAAUAAUGUGUUGAUAUUUUUGCUUGCAUUUUUGUUAUUAUCUUAACACUCUCUAUUGCUAUCUGCUUCAAUAUAGGAAAAAUGCAGUUACAAAUGUUUCCUGGUUAUAGUUAUUAAGAAUUAUCCCUAAUCUUAGGCUAGAUAUAUACAGAAGAUAAUCGUGUUCUAGAGUGUUCCUGCUGAAUAAAGUUGCCACUUAAUAAGAAACAGAUAUCAUGACUAGGUUGCCCUUGGAACUAACUGUCCAAGCGUGAACAAAUAUAUAUACUACAUCACACAUACACUCACAGUGCACAACACACUUAUACACUUCUCACAUACUCGCCUUUCUUUUACAACUUUCUGGCUCAGCAUGCCCAUGUCAUGAGCUAAUUCUGACCUAACAGAGAGGCUGUGCAGUCUUUCAGCUAGUGGAGGCUGAGAAAAUUGUGCAGCAAUAGGUCCAGUCCCUGGAAGAUGAAGUUAGUUAGCAUUUGGUGCCCAGCCAGCAGCAAUGUGACUUAGGCUUUUCGUCCUAGUAGGUAUGGAGUUCUGCUCUGAGCAACAAUUCAUUUAUUUUGUGCCAAUAUUCUGACUAGCUCAUUCUAGAAUCUUCUAUUUUGGUCAGAAUCUGUCCUAUAUUCUUGGCUGUGGUUCAAUUCUUUCAAUCAAAGAUCUGCCUAAUCCUGUUUUCCCAUAGCUAAUGUUGACAGGGUUCACCACGCCAUCUUCAUCUCCGCCCCCACUUCUCAUCUUCAGCCCAAACCAAUCUUCAUCUCUAUCUUCAUCUUUACUUCCAUCCACACAGCAAUCUUCAACUCCAUCUACCAAUACCAGUCUUAAGCUCCUGUGCCCCACCAUCCUCAGUCAUAGCAGUGCUCGAUGUGAUAACCUAAUCAAAAAUUUCAAACCAAACUGCCCAGCAUUCAUGGUUGUAAAGGACAUGUAGAAUCAGUCAACUGAUAGAUACAAAGUAACACUGAAACUGAUUGAGCAAUAAUCAGAAAGUUGGCGCUGCAAUAGCUUCCUCAGUUGUACCUCUCUGUCCACCGCCCAGCUCUUUCCUGUUGCUUCCAGUUCCUCUCACUUGUACUUCUUUAUUAACUAUUUGUUAACAUAACUUUCUAUGGUUUUCUUUCACCUAAGACCCAAACCUCUUCUCCUGGCUUGCAUUUCCACGACUCCCUGCCCAAGCCUGAGGUUGCACAAGAAACAUAUCUCUAAUUAAUGUCCCCUGUUCCAGGAAUUUGACUCAUUGGGCCUGCAAAAGAUUUUCGUGACAAAUGAAAUAUUUUUCUAAACCAAGGACUUGGGGAUAACUUCAGGGUCAAAGACAUCUUAUCAUAUUUAAGAACAGCCACAGGAUGUCUAGGAGCCAGCAGAGGGGCCAGAUAUGCUGCAGUUUAUGCUGUAAAAGGAAGCCUGCCGCCGUGAGUGGUCCAGUGGGAGCUCUUGCUUUGUGUCCUCAGCCUUUCACCUUUCCAUCUGAUGACUUGCUCUGAAUCUUCACUUCCUGGGCAGAGCUCUGAGUAUAGAUGAGGCAAACUUCACAUGGAAAAGAAGCCAUAUUUUGAAAAAACUACACGGAAUCAAAGAGAACUAACUCAAAGAAGCAAAAUUUUGGAGAUAAAACAAGACCCUAUGUUCACCAGAAGGAUCCUCAUGUCUGCAGACUACAUUAAGAGGGAGGAUAUGCCUCUGUGAAUCCAACUGAUAGGUAUCUCCUGUGUGCCAGGGAAUGGCAGGGCCAUGGCUCUCUCAAAGCCAUGCUCAUAAAAAGCCUCCUCUGCAUCGACUUCCAGUCCCAUUUGAUUCUCAAGCAAGGAGUUCCAUCCGAGAAGGAAGCUGUCACCUGUCACUCUUUUAUGAAUUCUUAAGGACAGUGGAAGAGUUGAAAGGUUGGCAAUCACAAUGACAAUAGGCUAUUACAAGCAGGUGAAGAGCCUUCUUCUUUUGCUCCUUACCCCCAACUGCUGUUCAAAUAAUCAAAAAAGGGUCCUCAUUGAAACUGAUUUAAUUCUCAAGAGGAAUGAAAGACAUUUAAAGGGCAAGCCAACUUCAUAAAUGACAUUAAAAGGUUUUAAAAUAGUGUUUUGCUUCUAAAGGGUGUUUGUAAAUGUCAGAGGUAACAUAUUGAUUACAGUCCUGGCAGUUCUUGCUCAGGGCUUCUUAGCUGUCUUUGGCUUAACUCAUGCUGUUGACUUAUGCUCAUGGUAUGAAAUAUCUCAGCCAUCUUACUUUGUUUGCUUAAACUUUUCCAACCUACCAGACUUUAUCCACAUGUGAAUAAAAGGUACCAUCAAAUUAGUGGUGUUUAUAAUUUUUGUGCUUUUUAAUGUCUCGUGAAUUAUAUAAAGUUACGAAAAUGGCUAUAGGAAUUGGCCUACAAACUCUUGAGAUGUCCUAUAAGUUCCUACAAGAUAUUGAAAGUUGGUUGCUUUGAGGAUAUAAUUCUGAAUGUUGAAGCAAAUUAAAAAGCCAACUUGGAAGGGGAUACAUAAUCCUCUUUAAGUCAAGAUGAGGGGUAUAACCUCCCCCAUAUAUUCUGGGCCCAGUCGUCUGUGUUGAAAAGAACUCUGAUAGUUUAUUUGCUGAUACUAUUAAUGGGAGCCAAAAACAUUGUGGAGAAAGGUGAUAUUGUCAUCGUGAAUCUCUCUGAACUCCUGUUCCCAAUUUGUAGCCAGUAAGAGAGCAUGAUUGCUCUGACUACAGGAUUAUACUAAGUCUCUAAGGAAAUGAGAAUAGUGCACAUGUGUACUCUGAUUUAUAGUUUGCAAAGGCCAUUCAAUAAUUGGUAAAGCCGAAACCAAUGAAUUUCCUUCUGAUUUUCAGCACCAUUCAGAAUCUGGACAUAUAAUAUGUUUAUGGCAUUUAACCUAGUCAGACAGUAGAUAUUGCUCUAAGUCAUGGCCUACACCUGUGAGCCUACUUAUAUCAGCAUUUGCCAAAUGUACUUGUAGCUGUGGUACUGACCUCAGAGAACUUAGCCAAAGAGCAAAGACUGCCUAAUUCAAGAAGUACUGGCUGUACAGGAAGCAUAAUGCCAGCAUCUGUUUCUGGUGAGGCCUCAGGAAGCUUUUACUUAUGGUGGAAGGUGAAGGAGGAACAGGUGUCUCACAGGGCAAGAGGAGCAAGAGGGAGCAGGUGGGGAUUGGUGCCACACACUUGUAAACAUCCACAUUUUGUGAGAACUCACUAUCUCAAAAACAGCACCAAGCCAUGAGGAAUCCCUUCCUAUGACCCAAACACCUCCC
This 5531-nucleotide long non-coding RNA is filed under the name Homo sapiens (human). RNAcentral's name for it is "HSALNT0311147". Lineage: Eukaryota; Metazoa; Chordata; Mammalia; Primates; Hominidae. The record is from RNAcentral.